This 2560-nucleotide ribosomal RNA is filed under the name Escherichia coli. RNAcentral describes it as "partial 23S ribosomal RNA". It matches the Rfam family "Bacterial large subunit ribosomal RNA", at positions 344 to 2887 of the family's 2925-position model. The record is from RNAcentral. Lineage: Bacteria; Pseudomonadati; Pseudomonadota; Gammaproteobacteria; Enterobacterales; Enterobacteriaceae.
GGAAAGGCGCGCGAUACAGGGUGACAGCCCCGUACACAAAAAUGCACAUGCUGUGAGCUCGAUGAGUAGGGCGGGACACGUGGUAUCCUGUCUGAAUAUGGGGGGACCAUCCUCCAAGGCUAAAUACUCCUGACUGACCGAUAGUGAACCAGUACCGUGAGGGAAAGGCGAAAAGAACCCCGGCGAGGGGAGUGAAAAAGAACCUGAAACCGUGUACGUACAAGCAGUGGGAGCACGCUUAGGCGUGUGACUGCGUACCUUUUGUAUAAUGGGUCAGCGACUUAUAUUCUGUAGCAAGGUUAACCGAAUAGGGGAGCCGAAGGGAAACCGAGUCUUAACUGGGCGUUAAGUUGCAGGGUAUAGACCCGAAACCCGGUGAUCUAGCCAUGGGCAGGUUGAAGGUUGGGUAACACUAACUGGAGGACCGAACCGACUAAUGUUGAAAAAUUAGCGGAUGACUUGUGGCUGGGGGUGAAAGGCCAAUCAAACCGGGAGAUAGCUGGUUCUCCCCGAAAGCUAUUUAGGUAGCGCCUCGUGAAUUCAUCUCCGGGGGUAGAGCACUGUUUCGGCAAGGGGGUCAUCCCGACUUACCAACCCGAUGCAAACUGCGAAUACCGGAGAAUGUUAUCACGGGAGACACACGGCGGGUGCUAACGUCCGUCGUGAAGAGGGAAACAACCCAGACCGCCAGCUAAGGUCCCAAAGUCAUGGUUAAGUGGGAAACGAUGUGGGAAGGCCCAGACAGCCAGGAUGUUGGCUUAGAAGCAGCCAUCAUUUAAAGAAAGCGUAAUAGCUCACUGGUCGAGUCGGCCUGCGCGGAAGAUGUAACGGGGCUAAACCAUGCACCGAAGCUGCGGCAGCGACGCUGAUGCGUUGUUGGGUAGGGGAGCGUUCUGUAAGCCUGCGAAGGUGUGCUGUGAGGCAUGCUGGAGGUAUCAGAAGUGCGAAUGCUGACAUAAGUAACGAUAAAGCGGGUGAAAAGCCCGCUCGCCGGAAGACCAAGGGUUCCUGUCCAACGUUAAUCGGGGCAGGGUGAGUCGACCCCUAAGGCGAGGCCGAAAGGCGUAGUCGAUGGGAAACAGGUUAAUAUUCCUGUACUUGGUGUUACUGCGAAGGGGGGACGGAGAAGGCUAUGUUGGCCGGGCGACGGUUGUCCCGGUUUAAGCGUGUAGGCUGGUUUUCCAGGCAAAUCCGGAAAAUCAAGGCUGAGGCGUGAUGACGAGGCACUACGGUGCUGAAGCAACAAAUGCCCUGCUUCCAGGAAAAGCCUCUAAGCAUCAGGUAACAUCAAAUCGUACCCCAAACCGACACAGGUGGUCAGGUAGAGAAUACCAAGGCGCUUGAGAGAACUCGGGUGAAGGAACUAGGCAAAAUGGUGCCGUAACUUCGGGAGAAGGCACGCUGAUAUGUAGGUGAAGUCCCUCGCGGAUGGAGCUGAAAUCAGUCGAAGAUACCAGCUGGCUGCAACUGUUUAUUAAAAACACAGCACUGUGCAAACACGAAAGUGGACGUAUACGGUGUGACGCCUGCCCGGUGCCGGAAGGUUAAUUGAUGGGGUCAGCGCAAGCGAAGCUCUUGAUCGAAGCCCCGGUAAACGGCGGCCGUAACUAUAACGGUCCUAAGGUAGCGAAAUUCCUUGUCGGGUAAGUUCCGACCUGCACGAAUGGCGUAAUGAUGGCCAGGCUGUCUCCACCCGAGACUCAGUGAAAUUGAACUCGCUGUGAAGAUGCAGUGUACCCGCGGCAAGACGGAAAGACCCCGUGAACCUUUACUAUAGCUUGACACUGAACAUUGAGCCUUGAUGUGUAGGAUAGGUGGGAGGCUUUGAAGUGUGGACGCCAGUCUGCAUGGAGCCGACCUUGAAAUACCACCCUUUAAUGUUUGAUGUUCUAACGUUGACCCGUAAUCCGGGUUGCGGACAGUGUCUGGUGGGUAGUUUGACUGGGGCGGUCUCCUCCUAAAGAGUAACGGAGGAGCACGAAGGUUGGCUAAUCCUGGUCGGACAUCAGGAGGUUAGUGCAAUGGCAUAAGCCAGCUUGACUGCGAGCGUGACGGCGCGAGCAGGUGCGAAAGCAGGUCAUAGUGAUCCGGUGGUUCUGAAUGGAAGGGCCAUCGCUCAACGGAUAAAAGGUACUCCGGGGAUAACAGGCUGAUACCGCCCAAGAGUUCAUAUCGACGGCGGUGUUUGGCACCUCGAUGUCGGCUCAUCACAUCCUGGGGCUGAAGUAGGUCCCAAGGGUAUGGCUGUUCGCCAUUUAAAGUGGUACGCGAGCUGGGUUUAGAACGUCGUGAGACAGUUCGGUCCCUAUCUGCCGUGGGCGCUGGAGAACUGAGGGGGGCUGCUCCUAGUACGAGAGGACCGGAGUGGACGCAUCACUGGUGUUCGGGUUGUCAUGCCAAUGGCACUGCCCGGUAGCUAAAUGCGGAAGAGAUAAGUGCUGAAAGCAUCUAAGCACGAAACUUGCCCCGAGAUGAGUUCUCCCUGACUCCUUGAGAGUCCUGAAGGAACGUUGAAGACGACGACGUUGAUAGGCCGGAUGUGUAAGCGCAGCGAUGCGUU